Molecule: long non-coding RNA, 702 nt
Filed under: Olea europaea (common olive)
Lineage: Eukaryota; Viridiplantae; Streptophyta; Magnoliopsida; Lamiales; Oleaceae
Description: long non-coding RNA (OEUR_LNC010944)
Source: RNAcentral
UUUUUUUUUUAUUUUCCAAUCAUAACUCAUAAAUGAUAAAUGAAAAAAAAUGAACCAAAAGAACAAAAACCAAAAAAAGAAAAAGAAGACUAGUAGGAAGCUCACGAGUCACGACAGCGACACAGUAGACAGUGGGAAGUGGAGGAGACCGUAGAGUCAUGGAGUCAGGGUGGCAAUUUGUUAUUUGAUUGGCAAUUGAAUUGAGAUUUGUUUUACAAACCAUUAAACUUGCAUCUAGUGUUUGGACCUUUAAAAAAAAAAAUUAGAAGCCCAAAAGAAGAGAGAUUCACAAUUUUAAAAGAAAUGACCAGAUCCACUUACUUGUCAUCUUCCUAACUCUUCCAAGUUUCAUCAUCCUAGGCAGCGCAGCUUCAAUCUUCAAGCUUCCUUCCUGGCUCAGCGGCAACUGUAAAUUUCGGCAGAGCCAGCACGCGCCCCCUCGUCGGGUGCUGGCUCCGCCACUGUCCCACACCCCUCUUCAAACAAAUUAAUCUUAUUUUCCUCUUUUAGUUCUCUUUAUCAAACUAAGAUCAUUCUUAUGAAGUUUCAAGCCUCUUUAAUUUGCACAAAACAUAAUCCACUCACGUCCACUCGAAUCUCACUCCACUCAAUUACGAAUAGUAUUUGAGAACAUAAGACGUUUACGCAAAAAUAUAUCCGAACCUCAUAAAAAUGAUCCUUCCCAUACGACAUGGGAGUAUG